Long non-coding RNA from Mobula hypostoma (lesser devil ray), 5583 nucleotides. RefSeq lists it as uncharacterized. The record is from RefSeq and is a predicted model, not a curated record. The transcript has 3 exons. NCBI's taxonomy places the organism in Eukaryota, Metazoa, Chordata, Chondrichthyes, Myliobatiformes, Myliobatidae.
GUGAAGUUAAUGCAGUAUAUAAAUACCAUCCUUUAAUUUUGUCAUGCUGUCGAGAGCAGUGAGCGAGAAGUGAGGCAUGGCCGGGGUAUUAUACGCUGUGCUAAAUGCUGAGGGUAAUGUUAGACGCCAUAAUUACAAAUCGAAGAGCAAUUUCUGUUUUUAACAUAUGGCAGUAUUCAGCAAAUAUCGUACUACAAUAUUGCUUCAAAUAUUAAUGUAAAUAUUGCCCAUCAGAAAUAUUAUUUCAUGCUGAAAAGCGAAUAAUUAAUUGGAUAAUUUGGAAUUAUGAUCAUGAUUAUGUACAAGAGAUUCGGAAGACAACGCAGUGCAUUCUGAAGGACAGAAUUCUCGUUCGCUCGUCAAUCACGUGCUCGUCUCCAGACUCUGAAGAAUUUGAGACAUUACGACCAAUAAAUCCAUAUUUCUGUUUCCAUUUGGGAACUUCGUUUUGGGAUGCAAUUGUCAGGUCCUGGUAAUUUGUUACCCUUUUAUCCCCAUUAAUUUCGAAUUUUUAUGUCUUUCCGAAAACUGAUUUCCUUCAUUCCUUUCCUCCUUACAUACUCAUGUCGCAGCUGCUUCUUUUGUGCUGCUUUGCGAAGACUAAAUGAAUGCAGUGAUCGAACUUCCCCUGCAUGUUAUUUGGCCAAGUAUAUUUACUACCUUUAUGAAUGUAAAGUUACCAUAUUUGCUGCACUCUUUAUAAAUUUGCACAAUUUUCAAAUGAAAAUGUUACAUUCCUUGCACGAUUGUUUUCAUACUCUAAUAAGCAUAUCAAUUUUCAUGUUCUUUUUUCUGAAUUAUCAAUGCCUAUAUUCUGCAACCCUUCAUUAUUUCUGAGAGGCUUAUAAACGUUCUCUUUGAAUCUUAUAAUUUCUCUUAUGUCCGUGGUUGAACAUCUUUCUUUACGUAAUUUUGUGCAGGACAUGGAAACCAUCGAAACCAUAUAAAAACUACAGCACGGAAACUGGUCUUUUGGUCCUUGGCUGUGCUGAACUAUUUUCUGUCUACUCCCACUGACCUGCAAACGGACCAUAUCGCUCCAUACACCUCCCAUCCAUGUAUCUGUCCAAUUUAUUCCUAAAUGCUAAAAAAAAAAAAAAUAGCAUUUACUACCUCGUCUGGCAGCUCAUUCCAUUAUCCCACCACUCUCUGUGUGAAGAAGCCCCCCCCACCACCACAACCACAAUGUUCCUUUAAACUCCCCCCCCCCACCCUUGACCUCUGUUUUAUUCUCCCCUUGCCUCAGUGGAAAAAAUGUCUGCUUGCAUUCACUCUAUCUAUACCCUUCAUAGUUUUAUGUAACUCUAUCAAAUCUCCCCUCAUUCUUCUACACUCCAGGGAAUAAAUUCCUAACCUAUUCAACCUUUCUCUGAAGCUGAGUUUCUCAAAUCCCAGCAACAUCCUUGCAAACCUUCUCUGCACUCUUUCAACCUCACUAAUAACCAUCCUGUAAUUUGGUGACCAAUAUUGAACACAAUACUCCAGAUUCGGCCUCACCAAUGCGUUAUGCAACUUCAUAAUAACAUACCAGCUCUUAUACUUAAUACUUUCAUUAAUAAAGGCCAAUGUACAAAAAGCUCUCUUUACGACCUUAUUUACCUGUGCCGUCACUUUUAGGGAAUUUUGUAUCUGUAUUCCCAUAUCCCUCUGUUCUACUGCACUCCUCAGUGCCUUACCACUUACCCUGUAUGUUCUACCUUUGUUUGUCCUUCCAGACCUCACGCUUGUCUGUAUUAAACCCCAUCUGCCAUUUUUCAGCCCAUUUUUCCAGUUGGUCCAAGACCCUCUGCAGGCUCUGAAAACCUUCCUCACUGUCCACUACACCUCCAAUCUUUGUAUCAUCAGCAAAUUUGCUGAUCCAAUGUACCACAUUAUCAUCCAGAUCAUUGAUAUAGAUGACAAAUAACAAUGGACCCAGCACUGAUCCGUGUGGCACACCACUAAUCACUGGCCUCCACUCUCAGAAUCAAUUCUCUACUAUCACUCUUUGGCUUUUUCCAUUGAACCGAUGUCUAAUCCAGCUACCACCUCUCUAUGUAUACCUAGCGACUGAAUUUUCCGAACUAACCUGCCAUGCGGGACCUUGUCAACGGCCUUACUGAAGUCCAUGAAGACAAUAUUCACUGCCUUCCCUUCAUCAACUUUCCUGGUAACCUCGUCGAAAAACUCCAGCAGAUUGGACAAACAUAACCUACCACGCACAAAGCCAUGUUGCCUCUUCCUAAUAAGUCCCUAUUCAUCCAAUUGCCUGUAGAUUCUGUCUCUUAGUACUCCCUUCAAUAACUUAUCCACUACCGACGUCAAACUUACUGGACUAUAAUGUCCAGUAUUACUUUUCGAAUAUUUUUUAAACAUCUUGUGAUUUUUUUUGUAUCUGUGUUCAUUAAAUAUUACCAUAACCUAACUAAUGACUGAUUCACCCUUCAGACAUUAUUGUUUUGUGUGCUCUCUAACACUGGUGCUUCAACUUCAAUAUAUAUUUCUUAGAUCAUGCUUUGCCCACCUUUCCAAAAAUGCUUUUAAAAAAUGUAUUCUUUCUUCAUGAUUUGCUCAAUUAUUCAGAAGACAAAUAUUACUGAUUAAACUGUGCAUUAUUGCAUGUAUCUCUAACCAAUUGUUAAAUUUAAUCCAGCUUAUCGUCUCUACUCUCUGCAGAUAACAAAAUUUCGAAAAAUCACAACUAUGAAUGUUUUAUUUCUAUUUAAGAGGAAGUAACCUCUCUGAAACAAAAUGACCAGAGACCUUUAAGAAUAUUUAAAGUGUUUUAGGUGCACAGAGUCCGAAUCAAAAUACAAAACAUUUCAUGGAUGGCGAGCGUCCAUAAUGAUGGAUGCCACCUUCUUGAAGCAACGCCUUGUGAAGGCAAAACACACGACUAGCAUGAAUGACUGGCCUGAUUCCCUGAAGACAAAGUACUCUGAACGAAAUUACAGGAGUGCGGAUAUGCAAAAGUGCACAUGAAACAACAGUCUAGGAUAUUUAUUAAGAAAGCAGUUAACGGGACACCUGCGGAGAGGUCACCACAAUUGUUCAGUUUCCUCCCUUAACUUAUGGGUUUGGACCGGCCUUCCUCUUGCUCUGAUGUUGUAACUAGCAUUUUUUAACAUCUCAAUCCUCCAUUGCGACUGAAUUAACCGGAACAAUUAUUUUUUUCUGUCAUUUUUCCAAUAAUAUCAAAUAUAGUGCAUGACACCAAAAGAUAUAGGUGCCGCUUUACGCCAUUUCGCCCAUCUAGCCUGCACUGCCAUUUCAUCAUGGCUGAUCCAAUUUUGAAUGGACAAUUAAAGGAACACAGCACAAAAGGAAUGCAUUCCUUUAGUAAUGAAAUACCUAACGAGCUGGGGACACUGAAUGCUGCAAGAACUGAAACGACAAACUGGCUUUUUCGACUUUACAUCAAAUUUCGAGUUACUCCUUAUUCUAAUUCCUUCACCAUACCCAUAUGCUAUACCCAAAAGUGGCGAGACUAAAUUAAAAUCAGUAUUUGUCUGCAUUGAAAAUGGCUGAUUCAUGAAACAAAAAUGCAAGCGUAGGAACAUUCUGCGUUUGGUUCAAAUUACCAUAGAUCACCAAAUGUUGUCAUCUAAGAUUAAACAAAACUGCCCCAAUGUGCUCUCUUCUGCAGAAAACAAAAUUCUGUGAUCAUGCAGUUUGCUGAUUUUACACCAUGAACUUGGACCAGUUUGUAAUUUUUCCGUCAGUGCUUUCAAAUCCAUGCCAAUUGGCCCGGUGACUUUACAAAUUGCUCUGUAAUACAUUAAAACGUGAAACUGUACACCGCCCAUAACGUCAUAUAGUAAUAUCAUAAUUGCAGACGUUUGUUGAGAAUUUUUCGAGCACCCUUCAAAGAUGACGUACAGAUUUUGUAUUUCUGCCCCCUUCAGCAUGAGGUGUGAAGUCUAAUUCUAUUAAUGGCAGUAUUCACAGAUAACAGGUAACAGACAAUAAGGAACUAAGGAGAGGUUCACGAUAUUUUUCCUGUAUCCUUUUUCCACAUUGAUUUUGAGACCAGCAACAGUACUGUCAAUUUCAAAUUUAAAGAUAGGCUUGUCCUGUACCUGGACCCAGAGUCAUGGGUGUAAUAGGGUUACAGCAGGGGAUAUGCAGUCAUUGGUAUAAUAAGGUUAGAAGACUCUCCAGGAGACGCUCAUAGCGUGAGGUACAGUUCGCAUUCUCACCAUUCUCUUUACUUCUUUUACCUGUAACCACCUUUAUUUACUUUAUCUAUACCUGCACUAAAGGGUUUAUACCACAAAUAGAUCUUUGAACUUCGAUUUUAACUUACUGAAAAUGCUGACCAGAGAGCAUAAAGUUAAAGGUGGGAAAGUUUCCGGCGGGAACGAAAAAAAAAGAUAGCGAUCCCCAAGCAUCUAAGCAUAUUCCAUUAACAACGAAACAAUGUCAAAACUUCUAGAGGAUACAGUUAACUAAAGAUUUGCUCCGUUUGAAGACGUUUUGAAGAUCAUUCAAUAUGAUGUUAAAUCAUAUGUUAAAUCUAGUACGAAAGGGCAUUACUUAAGGAUUGAAGGGUGCCCAUUCAGAACAGAAAUGCGAAGUUUUUUUUUUAGUCAGACGGUGGUGAAUCUAUGGAAUUUGUUGCCAUGGGCAGCAGUGGAGGCCAAGUCAUUAUGUGUAUUUAAGGCAGAGAUUGAUAGGUAUCUGAGUAGCCAGGGCAUGAAAGGUUAUGGUGAGAAGGCGGGGGAGUGGGACUAAAUAGGAGAAUGGAUCAGCUCAUGAUAAAAUGGCGGAACAGACUCGAUAGGCUGAAUGGCCUACUUCUGCUCCUUUUUCUUAUGGUCUUAUGGUCUAAUUGGUUUAGAUGCGAAGUCGAUCAACAACAGAUUAGAAUUUCAGAGCUGGUUGAAGCCGGUCGGAAGAGAGACCAAAAAAUUGAAUCUGUGGAGAGAAAUCUGUCUUCGACAUCUCAGCUGUUGUAAUGUUAUAAAUCAAAGAUUAUCGAUCUUGAAAAUCAAACUUGGCGACAGAAUCUGGGAAUAAUCGGAGUUCCCAAAGAUGUUGAGAUGGGCGAUCCCACUAAAUACUUUUCUAAAUUGUUAAUGGAUGUGUUUGGACCAGAAGUUAUGGCGGCCCCCCCAUUGCUAAAUCGUGCGUAUCGCACCUUCCGAAGAAUUUAAACCGAGACCUGUUAUUGUUCGGUUUCACGAUAUUCACAUUAAGGAUCAAAUAAUGCAUUUUUUUUUCUUUUUUGUAAUUUGUAACUUGCUUUUCGUGUUUUUUUUUGAAGAAAAAAGCUAAUAUCCAGAUUAGAGAUUUCGUUUUUUACAUUUUGAAGGCUGUCGCCUUGGUUUUGUAGUGUAGGAGUUUUUCGUAUUUUUGAAUGAAAGUAUUCUUCUUUUUUUCUUUUUUCGUUAGUGAUUUUGUAUUUUUUUCACUUUUCAUCAGUUUUCUUUUGAGAGUAAUUAAGUAGUAGAUUCAGUGUUUGAUUUUCCUUUUGUUUGAAACUUUAUUGGAGAAGUAUUACAUCUUAAGGUGGUGAAUUGCUCUGUCCUUCUUCUCAGAAUUUAUCUUCUCUUGCUGCGUCAUUUCCAAUCAUUUAUAUAUGAAAUAAACUAAUAAUAUGAA